GUGCUCGCUUCAGCAGCACAUAUACUAAAAUUGGAACGAUACAGAGAAGAUUAGUAUGGCCCCUGCGCAAGGAUGACACACAUAUUCAUGAAGUGGUCCAUAUUUUU
This is a small nuclear RNA of Otolemur garnettii (small-eared galago), 107 nucleotides long. Lineage: Eukaryota; Metazoa; Chordata; Mammalia; Primates; Galagidae. The record is from Ensembl.